This 465-nucleotide ribosomal RNA is filed under the name Vreelandella stevensii. Its description in RNAcentral is "partial 16S ribosomal RNA". It matches the Rfam family "Bacterial small subunit ribosomal RNA", at positions 338 to 795 of the family's 1533-position model. The record is from RNAcentral. Lineage: Bacteria; Pseudomonadati; Pseudomonadota; Gammaproteobacteria; Oceanospirillales; Halomonadaceae.
CCUACGGGAGGCUGCAGUGGGGAAUAUUGGACAAUGGGGGCAACCCUGAUCCAGCCAUGCCGCGUGUGUGAAGAAGGCCCUCGGGUUGUAAAGCACUUUCAGUGAGGAAGAACGCCUGGUGGUUAAUACCCAUCAGGAAAGACAUCACUCACAGAAGAAGCACCGGCUAACUCCGUGCCAGCAGCCGCGGUAAUACGGAGGGUGCGAGCGUUAAUCGGAAUUACUGGGCGUAAAGCGCGCGUAGGUGGCUUGAUAAGCCGGUUGUGAAAGCCCCGGGCUCAACCUGGGAACGGCAUCCGGAACUAUCAAGCUAGAGUGCAGGAGAGGAAGGUAGAAUUCCCGGUGUAGCGGUGAAAUGCGUAGAGAUCGGGAGGAAUACCAGUGGCGAAGGCGGCCUUCUGGACUGACACUGACACUGAGGUGCGAAAGCGUGGGUAGCAAACAGGAUUAGAUACCCUUGUAGUC